AUUGAACGCUGGCGGCAUGCCUUACACAUGCAAGUCGAACGGCAGCACAGGUGCUUGCACCUGGUGGCGAGUGGCGAACGGGUGAGUAAUACAUCGGCACAUGUCCUGUAGUGGGGGAUAGCCCGGCGAAAGCCGGAUUAAUACCGCAUACGAUCUACGGAUGAAAGCGGGGGACCUUCGGGCCUCGCGCUAUAGGGUUGGCCGAUGGCUGAUUAGCUAGUUGGUGGGGUAAAGGCCUACCAAGGCGACGAUCAGUAGCUGGUCUGAGAGGACGACCAGCCACACUGGGACUGAGACACGGCCCAGAGUCCUACGGGAGGCAGCAGUGGGGAAUUUUGGACAAUGGGCGAAAGCCUGAUCCAGCAAUGCCGCGUGUGUGAAGAAGGCCUUCGGGUUGUAAAGCACUUUUGUCCGGAAAGAAAGCCUUGGCCCUAAUACGGUCGGGGGAUGACGGUACCGGAAGAAUAAGCACCGGCUAACUACGUG
This 486-nucleotide ribosomal RNA is filed under the name uncultured bacterium. RNAcentral describes it as "partial 16S ribosomal RNA". It matches the Rfam family "Bacterial small subunit ribosomal RNA", at positions 30 to 507 of the family's 1533-position model. The record is from RNAcentral.